Molecule: ribosomal RNA, 264 nt
Filed under: uncultured archaeon
Lineage: Archaea
Description: partial 16S ribosomal RNA
Rfam family: Archaeal small subunit ribosomal RNA
Source: RNAcentral
AGUCACUGACAUUAGAUACCCCCGUAGUCCAGGGUGUAAACGCUGCAGACUUGGUGUUGGAAGUCCUUUGGGGGCAUUCAGUGCCGGAGAGAGGUUGUUAAGUCUGCUACUUGGGAGUACGUCCGCAAGGAUGAAACUUAAAGGAAUUGGCGGGGAGCACCGCAACGGGAGGAGCGUGCGGUUUAAUUGGAUUCAACACCGUAAAACUCACCAGGGAAGACUGUUACAUGAAAGCCGAGAUGAAGACUCUGCUAGAUUUUUCAG